Molecule: ribosomal RNA, 497 nt
Filed under: uncultured bacterium
Lineage: Bacteria
Description: partial 16S ribosomal RNA
Rfam family: Bacterial small subunit ribosomal RNA
Source: RNAcentral
GACGAACGCUGGCGGCGUGCCUAAUACAUGCAAGUAGAACGCUGAAGCGAGGAGCUUGCUCUUCUUGGAUGAGUUGCGAACGGGUGAGUAACGCGUAGGUAACCUGCCUUGUAGCGGGGGAUAACUAUUGGAAACGAUAGCUAAUACCGCAUAACAAUGGAUGACACAUGUCAUUUAUUUGAAAGGGGCAAUUGCUCCACUACAAGAUGGACCUGCGUUGUAUUAGCUAGUAGGUGAGGUAACGGCUCACCUAGGCGACGAUACAUAGCCGACCUGAGAGGGUGGUCGGCCACACUGGGACUGAGACACGGCCCAGACGCCUAGGGGAGGCAGCAGUAGGGAAUCUUCGGCAAUGGGGGCAAACCUGACCGAGCAACGCCGCGGGAGUGAAGAAGGGUUUCGGAUCGGAAAGCUCUGUUGUAAGUCAAGAACGAGUGUGAGAGUGGAAAGUUCACACUGUGACGGUAGCUGAUCAGAAAGGGACGGCUAACUACGUG